Molecule: ribosomal RNA, 452 nt
Filed under: uncultured archaeon
Lineage: Archaea
Description: bacterial SSU rRNA
Rfam family: Archaeal small subunit ribosomal RNA
Source: RNAcentral
GGGCGGUUGAACCUGCCGGACCUGACUGCUAUCGGAUUGAUACUAAGCCAUGCGAGUCAUUGUAGCAAUACAAGGCAUACGGCUCAGUAACGCGUAGUCAACCUACCCUAUGGACGGGAAUAACCUCGGGAAACUGAGUAUAAUGCCCGAUAGAACACUAUACCUGGAAUGGUUUGUGUUUCAAAUGAUUUAUUGCCGUAGGAUGGGACUGCGGCCUAUCAGUUUGUUGGUGAGGUAAUGGCCCACCAAGACUAUUACAGGUACGGGCUCUGAGAGGAGUGGCCCGGAGAUGGGUACUGAGACACGGACCCAGGCCCUAUGGGGCGCAGCAGGCGAGAAAACUUUGCAAUGUGCGAAAGCACGACAAGGUUAAUCCGAGUGGUUUCUGCUAAAGGAACCUUUUGACAGUCCUAGAAACACUGUUGAAUAAGGGGUGGGCAAGUUCUGGUGUC